Molecule: long non-coding RNA, 773 nt
Organism: Micropterus salmoides (largemouth bass)
Lineage: Eukaryota; Metazoa; Chordata; Actinopteri; Centrarchiformes; Centrarchidae
Exons: 2
Source: RefSeq, a predicted model, not a curated record
UGCAGCUUGUUGUAAAUCAGUAAAGUUAAAUGUCGUUUUGUGUGAAAACAUCUCUCGUCUCUACACAAUAUACGUCACGCACAUGUUAACGCGGGUAAUGCUAGCUAACGUACAUUGCUUGGUUGCUGCCAAUUAGAUAACUUUAUGAAAACUUUUCUCUUUUUAAAUUGGUUUUCAGAUUUGGUGGUGCCAUUGGUGCACUAUUGCCAUUUUAAAUGCAAGCCAGAUCACACACACAGACACACACACACACACACACACACACACACAGUGGGCAUCUCCACAAGGUAUGGUAUCAUAAAUUGUUAUUGAAAGGUUGGUGACAUCAGCAUAUCAGCACAUGGCUGCCCCUCCUGCUGGAAUAUAAAGAGAUGAUGAAACAAGUGAUGAAGUGAAACUUACAGAGACAGAGAAGCCAGACGCUCAGAAGUGCAUCCACUUCAUAGAGCAGGUGAGAACUCGCUCAGAGAUAACACAUUCCUCUGUCUUUUAGUCUCACUACAGUAAUUGAUUGUGUCAUUGGGUUGUCCUUUCACACCCAGAGGGAGAGAAGGAUCUCCUGUGAUUCAGUCAUCAUUCCUGCACCUGUUCAGCUCCUGGGGGUUUUACUGGGAGAUAGUGAAGUAUCCAGUGAACUGUUCUGCAGCUCACCUGUAAAACAAGAAAUCUUCCAAACGGUCGAGCUGCGAUGAGGGUGUGUGCAGUGCUCUGUGCUGUCUUUCUGUUGCUGAGCCAAGCUCUAAGUGGAUCUCAUCGAGACGGUUCCAUGAUAA